RNAcentral lists this long non-coding RNA (206 nucleotides) under Homo sapiens (human). RNAcentral's name for it is "HSALNT0018164". Lineage: Eukaryota; Metazoa; Chordata; Mammalia; Primates; Hominidae. The record is from RNAcentral.
UGAAACCUCGUCUCCACUAAAAAUACAAAAAAUUAGUCAGGCGUGAUGGCACGUGCCUGUAGUCCCAGCUACUCAGGAGGCUGAGGCAGGAGAAUUGCUCGAAUCUGGGAGGCAGAGGUUGCAGUGAGCCGAGAUUGGACCACUGCACUCCAGCCUGGGCAACAGAGCGAGACUCCAUCUCGAAAUAAAUAAAUAAAAUUUGGAAG